AAACACAACACAACAGUUUUUGGAAAGAGAAACGAUUUUUAUUGGCUUGAUCGAACUCCCGAACUGCAGAGUAGACAGAUAGGACAGGUUAAUUUCACAUUGCCUUUUAUUGCUCCAGCUUCAACAGGCAUCAUAGUUAAUCCCGCAUUGCCUUCCACCGCUCCACCAACAGCAGGCAUUCACAUCAAUAUUAUUAUAUACUACACAUACUUUUAACAUGAAUAUAUAUUUAGAUGUACAUUGUAUUUCAAGUUGCAAUUGUAUUUAAGUGUAAAUUGCUUUUUCUAGAAAUAAAAUAUAUAUUUUUUAUCAACAGUA
Long non-coding RNA from Toxorhynchites rutilus septentrionalis, 318 nucleotides. RefSeq lists it as uncharacterized. The record is from RefSeq and is a predicted model, not a curated record. The transcript is spliced from 4 exons. Lineage: Eukaryota; Metazoa; Arthropoda; Insecta; Diptera; Culicidae.